AUAUAUAUAUAUACACACACACACACACACACACACACACACAUAUACCGGGGUGUGUGUGUGUGUGUAUGUAUAUGUAUAUAU
Podarcis lilfordi (Lilford's wall lizard) is the source of this 84-nucleotide non-coding RNA. The record is from the annotation of a GenBank genome assembly. NCBI's taxonomy places the organism in Eukaryota, Metazoa, Chordata, Lepidosauria, Squamata, Lacertidae.